This 496-nucleotide ribosomal RNA is filed under the name uncultured bacterium. Its description in RNAcentral is "partial 16S ribosomal RNA". It matches the Rfam family "Bacterial small subunit ribosomal RNA", at positions 29 to 507 of the family's 1533-position model. The record is from RNAcentral.
AUGAACGCUGGCGGCGUGCCUAAUACAUGCAAGUCGAGCGAACGGACGAGAAGCUUGCUUCUCUGAUGUUAGCGGCGGACGGGUGAGUAACACGUGGAUAACCUACCUAUAAGACUGGGAUAACUUCGGGAAACCGUAGCUAAUACCGGAUAAUAUUUUGAACCGCAUGGUUCAAAAGUGAAAGACGGUCUUGCUGUCACUUAUAGAUGGAUCCGCGCUGCAUUAGCUAGUUGGUAAGGUAACGGCUUACCAAGGCAACGAUGCAUAGCCGACCUGAGAGGGUGAUCGGCCACACUGGAACUGAGACACGGUCCAGACUCCUACGGGAGGCAGCGGUAGGGAAUCUUCCGCAAUGGGCGAAAGCCUGACGGAGCAACGCCGCGUGAGUGAUGAAGGUCUUCGGAUCGUAAAACUCUGUUAUUAGGGAAGAACAUAUGUGUAAGUAACUGUGCACAUCUUGACGGUACCUAAUCAGAAAGCCACGGCUAACUACGUG